GACGAACGCUGGCGGCGUGCCUAAUACAUGCAAGUAGAACGCACAGUUUAUACCGUAGCUUGCUACACCAUAGACUGUGAGUUGCGAACGGGUGAGUAACGCGUAGGUAACCUGCCUGGUAGCGGGGGAUAACUAUUGGAAACGAUAGCUAAUACCGCAUAAUAUUAAUUAUUGCAUGAUAAUUAAUUGAAAGGUGCAAUUGCACCACUACCAGAUGGACCUGCGUUGUAUUAGCUAGUAGGUGAGGUAACGGCUCACCUAGGCGACGAUACAUAGCCGACCUGAGAGGGUGAUCGGCCACACUGGGACUGAGACACGGCCCAGACUCCUACGGGAGGCAGCAGUAGGGAAUCUUCGGCAAUAGACGAAAGUCUGACCGAGCAACGCCGCGUGAGUGAAGAAGGUUUUCGGAUCGUAAAGCUCGGUUGUAAGAGAAGAACGGGUGUGAGAGUGGAAAGUUCACACUGUGACGGUAUCUUACCAGAAAGGGACGGCUAACUACGUG
This 505-nucleotide ribosomal RNA is filed under the name uncultured bacterium. RNAcentral's name for it is "partial 16S ribosomal RNA". It matches the Rfam family "Bacterial small subunit ribosomal RNA", at positions 28 to 507 of the family's 1533-position model. The record is from RNAcentral.